RNAcentral lists this long non-coding RNA (1104 nucleotides) under Anas zonorhyncha (Eastern spot-billed duck). RNAcentral describes it as "lncRNA (ENSAZOG00000010924.1)". Lineage: Eukaryota; Metazoa; Chordata; Aves; Anseriformes; Anatidae. The record is from RNAcentral.
AUGCAAACCCGCCUGACUAAUUCAUUCAUAACAACCGCACGCUUAAUCAGCGCCCAGACGCUGCCACGCGCUCGCCGGGAGCCGGGCACCCUGCGGCCCCCACGCAGCCGCUGCAGCACCACGGGACAUGGCCAUGGGGCUGGCACCCGUGGGGGUGGCACCCGUGGGGCGCACGCCGGGGUCUCCCGUGGCCGUCCUGUGGGGUGGUGCCAGGCACUGGGACGCUGGGACAUGCUGUCGGGGAGUGGCACCGUGCCCGUGGCACACGGCCGUGCCCUGCAGCACUCGGGGACGCGUUGGCGCCCUGUGCCCGCUGUCCCUGCUGCCCGGGGCUUGCCGCACACCAGACUGGCCCGGAGCCGGGCUGCGCUGCCCGGCCUUGGCAUCCGACCCUGCUGGCUCGCUGCCCGGAUGGAGCUGGCACCAGCACCUGGCUGGCAUCUCCGCGCGGUGCCACCUCGGCACCCGCCAAAGGGGACCCCGUACCCAGGCUGUGUGGGGCGCACGGGGCCGGCACCCCCAGGCCCUCCUGGGCACAGCAGCACCGGCGUCCUCCACUCCCCAGCACCCGCCUUUCCCUCGUUUAGGCGGGCGCAAUCAGCAGCAAUUAUUGCUUUAAUUACCUGCUGCCGGGGCGCAGGCCGGGCGCCUGCGAAGUGCGAGGAAAUCUUUCAUUUUAAUGGAGUGCCAGGCCUGGCGCGGGCCACGAUUUAUGGGGCUCCAGCUGGGGAUUUAAUUUGCCGGCUGCAAUGCCCGCGGUGGUGCGGGGAGGUCCCCGGGGGGGCGCAGCCGGCGGAGGCAGGGGCUGGCACCCAGGUCCCCACCCCACACAGUGCCGGGGUGGCCGAAGGGCUGCGGGCAGGGGACGGGGGUGGCACGGCGAGCUGGUGGCACGGGGCCGGCGCUGCUGCGGCCGCCCGCGGGCAGGCUCUCCUCGCCAAGAACACGCUGACCUUCCCCGCAUCUCCUCGCAGCAGGCACCGGCGCGCCGCGCUCAGCACCGCCAGGGAGCUCAGAACUGAUGCUGGGAGCAGGAUCAGUCCCUUGAGGAGCAGUGGGGCCAAGCUGGGGGGUGGGGGGCACAGCCCCGGGAUGGGGGUGUGA